This 832-nucleotide ribosomal RNA is filed under the name Melanoseps occidentalis. Its description in RNAcentral is "partial 12S ribosomal RNA". It matches the Rfam family "Bacterial small subunit ribosomal RNA". Lineage: Eukaryota; Metazoa; Chordata; Lepidosauria; Squamata; Scincidae. The record is from RNAcentral.
UAAAAGUUUUGGUCCUAAACUUAUUAUUAUUCUUAACCCUGUUUAUACAUGCAAGCCUCCACACACCAGUGAGAAUGCCCACUGCCCCUCAACAGCUAACUGGAGCAGGUAUCAGGAACCACCACCCGCCUACGACACCUUGCCUCGCCACACCCACAAGGGCAAACAGCAGUAAUCAACAUUAAACCAUAAGCGAAAGCUUGAUUCAGCCGCGGUUAAAAAAGUCGGUAAAUUUCGUGCCAGCCACCGCGGUUAUACGAAAGACUAAAAAUAACAACCAACGGCGUAAAGAGUGACUAGAGUAUGUCAACAAAACUAAAUGGAAAACCACUAAUUAGCCGUCAAACGCCAACACACUGGGGAACCCCCCCCCCCAUUUAAUAAAAGAUUACUUUACCUCACCAAAGCUAAGAAACAAACUAGGAUUAGAUACCCUACUAUGCUUAGCCAUAAACAAAGACGGAACCCACACCAACCGUCCGCCCGAGAACUACAAGUGAAAAACUCGAAACUCUAAGGACUUGGCGGUGUCCCACACCACCCUAGAGGAGCCUGUCCUAUAAUCGACACCCCACGCUAAACCUCACCACCUUUUGCCAAUCAGCCUAUAUACCGCCGUCGACAGUCAACCCUAUGAAGGAAGAAUAGUUGACAAAACAGUUAACAACGAAUACGUCAGGUCAAGGUGUAGCACACAAGGUGGCAGAGAUGGGCUACAUUUUCUACUCAGACCACACGGAAAGCGGAAUGAAAAAACACCACAAGGCGGAUUUAGCAGUAAGACAAAUUAGCAUCAUUAUCUUAAACGCGCUCUGGGACGCGCACACACCGC